This 420-nucleotide ribosomal RNA is filed under the name uncultured eukaryote. RNAcentral's name for it is "SSU rRNA". It matches the Rfam family "Eukaryotic small subunit ribosomal RNA", at positions 592 to 1013 of the family's 1831-position model. The record is from RNAcentral.
CAAUAGCGUAUAUUAAAGUUGUUGCGGUUAAAAAAGCUCGUAGUUGGAUUUCUGCUGAGGACGACCGGUCCGCCCUCUGGGUGAGUAGCCGGUUCGGCAUGGGCAUCUUCUUGGAGAGCGUAGCUGCACUUGACUGUGUGGUGCGGUAUCCAGGACUUUUACUUUGAGGAAAUUAGAGUGUUUCAAGCAGGCACACGCCUUGAAUACAUUAGCAUGGAAUAAUAAGAUAGGACCUCGGUUCUAUUUUGUUGGUUUCUAGAGCUGAGGUAAUGAUUAAUAGGGAUAGUUGGGGGGCAUUAGUAUUUAAUUGUCAGAGGUGAAAUUCUUGGAUUUAUGAAAGACUAACUACUGCGAAAGCAUUUGCCAAGGAUGUUUUUCAUUAAUCAAGAACGAAAGUUAGGGGAUCGAAGAUGAUUAGAU